UUCUCUCAUAUUCCCGACCUCUUGAAACAGGAAGUUGCACACUCGAAUGAAGUGUAUUAUGAUGUUGAUGGUAUUUGGUAGUGGGAAGUAAAAGUAGUAUGCACUUCCCAUCCACUUACCUGUUCCUUUUCUACAUUAUUGUGUUUUCCGGUCAAGUUUGAUUUGUAUUUACACAUACAUACAUAAUUCAUGAACACCACUAGCAAAUCUCUG
Non-coding RNA from Caenorhabditis elegans, 213 nucleotides. The record is from Ensembl. Lineage: Eukaryota; Metazoa; Nematoda; Chromadorea; Rhabditida; Rhabditidae.